GACGAACGCUGGCGGCGUGCUUAACACAUGCAAGUCGAACGGAAAGGCCCUGCUUUUGUGGGGUGCUCGAGUGGCGAACGGGUGAGUAACACGUGAGUAUCCUGCCCCUGUCUUUGGGAUAUCUUCAGGGAACUCGGGCUAUUACCGGAUAGGAGCUCCUGAUGCAUGGUGGGGGUUGGAAAGUUUCGGCGGUUGGGGAUGGACUCGCGGCUUAUCCGCUUGUUGGUGGGGUAGUGGCUUACAAGGGCUUUGACGGGUAGCCGGCCUGAGAGGGUGACCGGGCACAUGGGGACUGAGAUACGGCCCAGACUCCUACGGGAGGCAGCAGGGGAGAAUAUUGCACAAUGGGCGGAAGUGUGAUGCAGCAGCGCCGCGUGCGGGAUGACGGCCUUCGGGGUGUAAACCGCUAUCGCCUGUGACGAAGCGUGAGUGACGGUAACGGGUAAAGAAGCACCGGCUAACUACGUG
This 468-nucleotide ribosomal RNA is filed under the name uncultured bacterium. RNAcentral describes it as "partial 16S ribosomal RNA". It matches the Rfam family "Bacterial small subunit ribosomal RNA", at positions 28 to 507 of the family's 1533-position model. The record is from RNAcentral.